RNAcentral lists this ribosomal RNA (479 nucleotides) under uncultured bacterium. RNAcentral describes it as "bacterial SSU rRNA". It matches the Rfam family "Bacterial small subunit ribosomal RNA", at positions 28 to 507 of the family's 1533-position model. The record is from RNAcentral.
GACGAACGCUGGCGGCGUGCUUAACACAUGCAAGUCGAACGGAGUUCCUUGGAUAGAGGCUUCGGCCAAUUGAAUUGGAACUUAGUGGCGGACGGGUGAGUAACGCGUGGGUAACCUGCCCUAUACAGGGGGACAACAGCUGGAAACGGCUGCUAAUACCGCAUAAGCGCACAGUACUGCAUGGUACAGUGUGAAAAACUCCGGUGGUAUAGGAUGGACCCGCGUCUGAUUAGCUUGUUGGUGAGGUAACGGGCCCACCAAGGCGACGAUCAGUAGCCGGCCUGAGAGGGUGAACGGCCACAUUGGGACUGAGACACGGCCCAAACUCCUACGGGAGGCAGCAGUGGGGAAUAUUGCACAAUGGGGGAAACCCUGAUGCAGCGACGCCGCGUGAGUGAAGAAGUAUUUCGGUAUGUAAAGCUCUAUCAGCAGGGAAGAAAAUGACGGUACCUGACUAAGAAGCCCCGGCUAACUACGUG